Molecule: ribosomal RNA, 1311 nt
Filed under: Paenarthrobacter nicotinovorans
Lineage: Bacteria; Bacillati; Actinomycetota; Actinomycetes; Micrococcales; Micrococcaceae
Description: bacterial SSU rRNA
Rfam family: Bacterial small subunit ribosomal RNA
Source: RNAcentral
ACGUGAGUAACCUGCCCUUGACUCUGGGAUAAGCCUGGGAAACUGGGUCUAAUACCGGAUAUGACUCCUCAUCGCAUGGUGGGGGGUGGAAAGCUUUUGUGGUUUUGGAUGGACUCGCGGCCUAUCAGCUUGUUGGUGGGGUAAUGGCCUACCAAGGCGACGACGGGUAGCCGGCCUGAGAGGGUGACCGGCCACACUGGGACUGAGACACGGCCCAGACUCCUACGGGAGGCAGCAGUGGGGAAUAUUGCACAAUGGGCGCAAGCCUGAUGCAGCGACGCCGCGUGAGGGAUGACGGCCUUCGGGUUGUAAACCUCUUUCAGUAGGGAAGAAGCGUAAGUGACGGUACCUGCAGAAGAAGCGCCGGCUAACUACGUGCCAGCAGCCGCGGUAAUACGUAGGGCGCAAGCGUUAUCCGGAAUUAUUGGGCGUAAAGAGCUCGUAGGCGGUUUGUCGCGUCUGCUGUGAAAGACCGGGGCUCAACUCCGGUUCUGCAGUGGGUACGGGCAGACUAGAGUGCAGUAGGGGAGACUGGAAUUCCUGGUGUAGCGGUGAAAUGCGCAGAUAUCAGGAGGAACACCGAUGGCGAAGGCAGGUCUCUGGGCUGUAACUGACGCUGAGGAGCGAAAGCAUGGGGAGCGAACAGGAUUAGAUACCCUGGUAGUCCAUGCCGUAAACGUUGGGCACUAGGUGUGGGGGACAUUCCACGUUUUCCGCGCCGUAGCUAACGCAUUAAGUGCCCCGCCUGGGGAGUACGGCCGCAAGGCUAAAACUCAAAGGAAUUGACGGGGGCCCGCACAAGCGGCGGAGCAUGCGGAUUAAUUCGAUGCAACGCGAAGAACCUUACCAAGGCUUGACAUGAACCGGAAAGACCUGGAAACAGGUGCCCCGCUUGCGGUCGGUUUACAGGUGGUGCAUGGUUGUCGUCAGCUCGUGUCGUGAGAUGUUGGGUUAAGUCCCGCAACGAGCGCAACCCUCGUUCUAUGUUGCCAGCGGUUCGGCCGGGGACUCAUAGGAGACUGCCGGGGUCAACUCGGAGGAAGGUGGGGACGACGUCAAAUCAUCAUGCCCCUUAUGUCUUGGGCUUCACGCAUGCUACAAUGGCCGGUACAAAGGGUUGCGAUACUGUGAGGUGGAGCUAAUCCCAAAAAGCCGGUCUCAGUUCGGAUUGGGGUCUGCAACUCGACCCCAUGAAGUCGGAGUCGCUAGUAAUCGCAGAUCAGCAACGCUGCGGUGAAUACGUUCCCGGGCCUUGUACACACCGCCCGUCAAGUCACGAAAGUUGGUAACACCCGAAGCCGGUGGCCUAAC